CCUACGGGAGGCAGCAGUGGGGAAUAUUGCACAAUGGGGGAAACCCUGAUGCAGCGACGCCGCGUGAGUGAAGAAGUAAUUCGUUAUGUAAAGCUCUAUCAGCAGGGAAGAAAAUGACGGUACCUGAGUAAUAAGCCCCGGCUAACUACGUGCCAGCAGCCGCGGUAAUACGUAGGGGGCAAGCGUUAUCCGGAUUUACUGGGUGUAAAGGGAGCGUAGACGGCAGUGCAAGUCUGGAGUGAAAGGCGUGGGCUCAACCACAGGACUGCUCUGGAAACUGUACGGCUGGAGUGCAGGAGAGGUAGGUGGAAUUCGUAGUGUAGCGGUGAAAUGCGUAGAUAUUAGGAGGAACACCAGUGGCGAAGGCGGCUUACUGGACUGUAACUGACGUUGAGGCUCGAAAGCGUGGGGAGCAAACAGGAUUAGAUACCCUAGUAGUC
Molecule: ribosomal RNA, 440 nt
Filed under: uncultured bacterium
Lineage: Bacteria
Description: partial 16S ribosomal RNA
Rfam family: Bacterial small subunit ribosomal RNA
Source: RNAcentral